Fopius arisanus is the source of this 785-nucleotide long non-coding RNA. RefSeq lists it as uncharacterized. The record is from RefSeq and is a predicted model, not a curated record. NCBI's taxonomy places the organism in Eukaryota, Metazoa, Arthropoda, Insecta, Hymenoptera, Braconidae. The transcript is spliced from 4 exons.
AACAAUGGAAAAUCAAAUGGAAAAUUUAUCUAAUUUUCAUCCCGAGAAAAACUGCAAGAGCCUCAACAGUAACGCAGUCACUGAGAUAUGCUGCGGACAGAUAUGAUGUAGGAGGUUUCCUGGUACCUACGCACUCUGCGUCACCAGAAGAAACAUCAUAUUGCAUAAUCAACUCUAAAUACUUGCAAUGACUGUGUAAGAGGUUGACGAAUAUCACAGCACUCGAGCUGGACUCUGCAUGGGUAUUUCAACACUGCAUGCUGCACGAAUCCACGAACCUGCCCCUCAGUUUAAACAAAUGUUUGAAAUGCAUCUUUCAUGGGUGGAAAUGCUGCGUGGGACGAUGACGGAACGACGUGUUAAGAUUUACUCACGUGGGUGUGUACCUUUACGCUCUGAUGGGUUUUCAGCAACCAUUUUGGGUGGGGAAACACCGAAAUCCACAGUGUAAGGAUUAUGUCUCUCUCAGGAGUUAUUACCGAUAUCUUCGCAUCUUUCAAGUUUUUUGGAGAAACCGCUGAUAAAAUUGACGUGAAAAAAUAUAACGUGACGUGAAAAAAUAUAUACACCGUUUUAUUGUUAUUCAAUGUCUCACGAAGUUUUAAUCGCUGGGUUAAAACAGUUUAUUUUUCACGUUAAUCUGAUCUAGGACUUCCCAGAAAUUUACAAAAACCAUGAAAAAGUACGAGACGAUUUCCGAAAUUAAAAACAGAUUUCCUUGAUUUUUUGUAAAUGUUUAUUCAGUUCAACUGAAACCUCUAGUAAUAUCAAAUGGAUACUUCUUU